This 407-nucleotide ribosomal RNA is filed under the name uncultured bacterium. Its description in RNAcentral is "partial 16S ribosomal RNA". It matches the Rfam family "Bacterial small subunit ribosomal RNA", at positions 28 to 526 of the family's 1533-position model. The record is from RNAcentral.
GACGAACGCUGGCGGCGUGCCUAAUACAUGCAAGUCGAACGGAGCGGCGGACGGGUGAGUAAUGCCUAGGAAUCUGCCUGGUAGUGGGGGAUAACGUCCGGAAACGGGCGCUAAUACCGCAUACUAUCAGAUGAGCCUAGGUCGGAUUCGCUAGUUGGUGGGGUAAAGGCCUACCAGGGCGACGAUCCGGAACUGGUCUGAGAGGAUGAUCAGUCACACGGGAACGUGGAAACGGUCCAGACUCCUACGGGAGGCAUCAGUGGGGAAUAGUGGACAAGGGGCGAAAGCCUGAUCCAGCCAGGCCGCGUUGGUGAAGAAGGUCUUCGGAUUGUAAAGCACUUUAAGUUGGGAGGCGUUACCAACAGAAUAAGCACCGGCUAACUUCGUGCCAGCAGCCGCGGUAAUUC